Molecule: ribosomal RNA, 416 nt
Filed under: uncultured bacterium
Lineage: Bacteria
Description: bacterial SSU rRNA
Rfam family: Bacterial small subunit ribosomal RNA
Source: RNAcentral
UAUUGGUCAAUGGCCGAGAGGCUGAACCAGCCAAGUCGCGUGAGGGAGGACGGCCCUACGGGUUGUAAACCUCUUUUGUCAGGGAGCAAGGGACAGGUCGUGACCGGUUGUGAGAGUACCUGAAGAAAACGCAUCGGCUAACCCCGUGCCAGCAGCCGCGGUAAUACGGAGGAUGCGAGCGUUAUCCGGAUUCAUUGGGUUUAAAGGGUGCGCAGGCGGAGGCACAAGUCAGCGGUAAAAUCGGGGGGCUCAACCCCGCUCCGCCGUUGAAACUGUGUCCCUGGAGUGCGCGAAGGGUAGGCGGAAUGCGUGGUGUAGCGGUGAAAUGCAUAGAUAUCACGCAGAACUCCGAUCGCGAAGGCAGCCUACCGGCGCGCGACUGACGCUCAUGCACGAAAGCGUGGGUAUCGAACAGG